Molecule: ribosomal RNA, 774 nt
Filed under: uncultured bacterium
Lineage: Bacteria
Description: bacterial SSU rRNA
Rfam family: Bacterial small subunit ribosomal RNA
Source: RNAcentral
AGAGUUUGAUCAUGGCUCAGGACGAACGCUGGCGGCGUGCUUAACACAUGCAAGUCAAGGGGGCCCGCAAGGGUAACCGGCGAACGGGUGCGUAACACGUGAGCGACCUGCCGAUCUGCGGGGGAUAGCCGGCCCAACGGCCGGGUAAUACCGCAUACGCUUCUCUUGGGGCAUCCUGAGGGAAGGAAACUUCCGGGGCGGAUCGAGGGGCUCGCGGCCUAUCAGCUAGUUGGCGAGGUAACGGCUCACCAAGGCGACGACGGGUAGCUGGUCUGAGAGGAUGGCCAGCCACAUUGGGACUGAGAAACGGCCCAGACUCCUACGGGAGGCAGCAGUGGGGAAUAUUGCGCAAUGGCCGCAAGGCUGACGCAGCGACGCCGCGUGUGGGAGGACGCCUUUCGGGGUGUAAACCACUGUUGCCCGGGACGAACAACUGGCAUUGGCCAGUCUGACGGUACCGGGUGAGGAAGCACCGGCUAACUCCGUGCCAGCAGCCGCGGUAAUACGGAGGGUGCGAGCGUUGUCCGGAAUCACUGGGCGUAAAGGGCGCGUAGGCGGUGCGGUAAGCGUGCGGUGAAAGCUCGGGGCUCAACCCCGAGUCGGCCGUGCGAACUGCUGGACUGGAGCAUGUCAGAGGCGGGUGGAAUUCCGGGUGUAGCGGUGGAAUGCAGAGAUCCGGAAGAACACCGGUGGCGAAGGCGGCCCGCUGGGACAUAGCUGACGCUGAGGCGCGACAGCGUGGGGAGCAAACAGGAUUAGAUACCCUAGUAGUCC